AGGCCCCCGCCACCGGCACUUUGCACCCACCUACUCCUUGGCGGGUAGGGGGCAGAAAAGUUUUGAGGCGCUCUCAUCGCAGCCUCCGGGGUGGUUGAACUGGUUUUUGUUUUGUGUGGCCGAAGCCAAAAAUCCCAGUGCCCAAGAACCGGGGAAUGAUGUUUAGGGGUCUAAAACGGGUCGGUGCUAGGCUUCGACUCCUUGUUCUGCGACACUAGAGUCCGCGCUGGAAGGAUAGAGCAAGACCCUCGGAGUUGCAUCACCUCUGGAAGAAACUCCGUAGCAUGAUGCUGAUUUGCAUGUUCUCUGCCCCCAUCUCGGCGAUCUUCUUCAGGCGCGCAUCCAUUGACUGAGCCGCGUCUCUCGGCACCCCCAGCAUUUCCCAGAGUGCAACAACACCACCCGAGAUCAAUGACCAGUCUGUUUAUUCUUGACGCGCCGGGAAGAGCAAGGCACUGAAGGAGCAUGGGAGGAAGACUUGGGGCUUGCCUCUUGGCGACCUCUCGCAGACUUUUUCUAGCUGGAUUUCUAAACGGCAGCUAGCAAGCAAAUAGAGUUCCUCAAUGCACGCCAUCACAUACCAAUGACGAUAUAUUCAUCUAGAAAUGUGAUACAUCCUUUUUCCCUCCACCCCCUUUCACCUUUUGUCGAUUUGUCUCUGGAGGUGGAUUGCUAAUACCUGAGAUUUUGCACUUGUCUAGGGCGGAAACUUUCUGGGGUGUUUGACGAUUGAUUAUUUGGUACCUGCUUUCUAAAAAUGGCUAAACACCUUUCCUUGGAACAAAAGUGAGAAAUGCAAAUCCUAAUAACUCAAGGCAAAAAUUUCAAAGUGUAAGCACAGUUAUUAUCCACUCCCACAAAGAAAAGCUUACUCUUCCACAAAUAUUUGAUAGCAUAGAGCCCAGUAAUUAAGAGAACAAUCAAAUAAACUCAAGGCUUUCAUGGGGACUCUAAAUUAUCAUCUGCCUAGAAUUUAUAAGCGGUGUAAUCAUUUGCCAACUUGGAUAUAGCUCUAGAUAUAGCAUUCUAAAUGUGUAUCCUUAAACAGUUAAGUUUUCUUAAGUAUUUAAUGAGCGAGAUCACGGAUAAUAAUAAUAUUCAAAUUGCUGGAUCAAUGUGGCCUCACCAACUGUGUGAAAAAAUUCCCUUCAUGUGUGCAUGAAACGUCUUGCCUAUAUGUUACCUUUCCUAACAUUUCCUAUGCAUGCAAGCAAGCUUCAAGUCUGAGCCACUUGCAUAAUAAGAAUAUAAGAAUACCUAAGAAUGCAUCAAUAAUUGUGCUGUACCUUGAAUUUAAGUGUAAUUUUUAUGCUAAAGAGUUCUUGGCAUAUAUUACAUGAUUUAUCCUCAUAAUACAUAUGUAGUUGCUUUUCACAGCUCUUAGUAUGAAGGUCCUUAUAUAAUGUAAAAGAAGCAAAUCAGGCCAACUGCAAAAAAAAAAAAAAAAAAAAAAA
This 1454-nucleotide long non-coding RNA is filed under the name Sus scrofa (pig). RNAcentral describes it as "lncRNA (ENSSSCG00050038826.1)". Lineage: Eukaryota; Metazoa; Chordata; Mammalia; Artiodactyla; Suidae. The record is from RNAcentral.